RNAcentral lists this ribosomal RNA (253 nucleotides) under uncultured bacterium. RNAcentral describes it as "partial 16S ribosomal RNA". It matches the Rfam family "Bacterial small subunit ribosomal RNA", at positions 524 to 776 of the family's 1533-position model. The record is from RNAcentral.
UACAGGGGGUGCAAACGUUGCUCGGAAUCAUUGGGCGUAAAGCGCACGUAGGCGGUUCGUUAAGUCGGAUGUGAAAGCCCUCGGCUCAACUGAGGAAGUGCACCCGAAACUGGCGAGCUUGAGUACGAAAGAGGAUCGCGGAAUUCCCGGUGUAGAGGUGAAAUUCGUAGAUAUCGGGAGGAACGCCGGUGGCGAAAGCGGCGAUCUGGGUCGCUACUGACGCUGAGGUGCGAAAGCGUGGGGAGCAAACAGG